AGAGUUUGAUCCUGGCUCAGGAUGAAUGUUGGCGGCGUGCCUGAGAUAUGCAAGUCGAGCGAAGUCCCGAUCGCAAGAUUGGGAUUCAGCGGCGGACGGCUGAGUAACGCGUAGGGACCUGCCCCUGAAUGGAAAAUAACCCCGAGAAAUCGGGGGUAAUGUUCCAUAGUUCUCCCGAUUUAUCGGGAGGUAAAGAAUUUAACUAUUCGUUCAGGGAUGGACCUGCGUCCUAUCAGAUAGUUGGUAAGGUAACUGCUUACCAAGUCUACGACGGGUAGCUGGCCCGAGAGGGUGGUCAGCCAGAGGGGAACUGAGAUACGGUCCCCACUCCUACGGGAGGCAGCAAUCAGGAAUAGUCGGCAAUGGGCGAAAGCCUGACCGCGCGACGCCGCGUGUAGGAAUAAGCUCUUAGGAGCGUAAACUACUGUGGUAAAAGAAGAAGUUCCGACGUCACGUCGGGAUUGACGGUAUUUUACUAGAAAGGGGCCGCUAACUGCGUGCCAGAAGCGUCGGUAAUACGUGGGCCCCAAACAUUAUCCGGUUUUAUUGGGCGUAAAGGGUCGUGUAGGUGUCCCAUUAAGUUUUUACUUAAAGACCUCAUGCUUAACGUGAGGAAAAGUAAAAAUACUAGUGGGAUAGAGUUUUCUUUAGGGGAACUGGAACUUAAGGAGGAGUAGUGAAAUGCGUUGAUACCUUAGGGAACACUAGUGGCGAAGGCGAGUUCCUGAAAGAUAACUGACACUGAGACACGAAAGCUAGGGUAGCGAAGCAGAUUAGAGACCUGCGUAGUCCUAGCCCUAAACGAAUGUCUGUUAGCUGCAUGAGAUUAACUUUGUUAAUUUCGUGUGGCGAAGGUAACCCGUUAAACAGACCGCCUGGGGAGUACGGCCGCAAGGUUGAAACUCAAAGGAAUUGGCGGGGAGGCACACAACCAGUGGAACAUGUGGUUCAAUUCGAAACGAACCGAAGAACCUCACCAGGGUUUGACAUUCCGAUGAUGUCCUCGUAAAAGCGAGGUUUCCGCAAGGACAUCGGAACAGGUGCUGCAUGGCUGUCGUCAGCUCGUUCCGUGAGGAGUGCCCUUAAGUGGGACAACGA
This 1098-nucleotide ribosomal RNA is filed under the name uncultured Microgenomates group bacterium. RNAcentral's name for it is "bacterial SSU rRNA". It matches the Rfam family "Bacterial small subunit ribosomal RNA", at positions 8 to 1095 of the family's 1533-position model. The record is from RNAcentral.